Molecule: long non-coding RNA, 367 nt
Filed under: Androctonus crassicauda
Lineage: Eukaryota; Metazoa; Arthropoda; Arachnida; Scorpiones; Buthidae
Source: RNAcentral
AUAGAGUUAGUAUUACUAUAUUAAUUUUCAAAAUAAUUCAACAUUACAAUGUUGUCCAAUCAAUUGGACAAUAUUGCAGAGAUACUCAUUCAAACAAGAGUUAAUUCAAAUUUUUCACCAGAUCUUAAAUUAGAUAUUAUGAUGGCCAUUUCUGAAUCUACUAUAGAAUCAGUGGCAUCCUUGAUGGGAUCUGUCAAAAGAUUGAAGAAUGGGUUUCAACAGGCCAAGCCUGGAUCCUUCCUGGAAAAUUUGGAAUCCAUAAUGAAAUAUGGUUUUUAGAUGGAAGUUUAGCAUGUGAUGACUAAACUGACUUAUAUUUUAAUGCUGUUAUUCUCACAAUUUGUUCAGUGAACAGACAAAAAUGGUU